AAGGAGUUAUCCAAGCGGUUAAGGAUUGCAUUUAAACUACAAUAUACAGAGGUUCAAAUCCUCUACUCUUUA
This 72-nucleotide transfer RNA is filed under the name Rhizopogon vinicolor AM-OR11-026. It matches the Rfam family "tRNA". From Rfam's summary of the family: Transfer RNA (tRNA) molecules are approximately 80 nucleotides in length. Their secondary structure includes four short double-helical elements and three loops (D, anti-codon, and T loops). The record is from Rfam by way of RNAcentral. Lineage: Eukaryota; Fungi; Basidiomycota; Agaricomycetes; Boletales; Rhizopogonaceae.